Mya arenaria is the source of this 1060-nucleotide long non-coding RNA. RefSeq lists it as uncharacterized. Lineage: Eukaryota; Metazoa; Mollusca; Bivalvia; Myida; Myidae. The record is from RefSeq and is a predicted model, not a curated record. The transcript is spliced from 2 exons.
CAGAAGGAAACAUUUUUAGAUGAUACCACUCGUAUACACAAUUUGAGAAAUAGAACGUAUUGAUGUUAGUGCCAUGUAGAGCUGGUGUCAAUUGACCACAAAACUAUCUUAACACGUACGCACGCACUGAAAAAUGAAGUGUAUUAACAUAAUAAAGCUGUAAAGCAUCCGUUGCCUGAAUUUGAAAGCUACCUCAAACUAAUUUUUAACUUCAUAAACGAGCGAAUGCGACGCCUUUUAAUCAAUCAAUUGUCUGCUACGUUAUCAGUUGUUUAUAUCCGAUCAAUACUAGAACAGUUAAUCAGUGAAUUAAACUUUAUUUUUUUUAUUUAUGAAGGCUUCCGGUCCAUAUCCACAUUAUGCAUACACAAUAAUUAUUCACAGCAAAAAAUCAUAACUAAAAACGAAAUAGGUUUAAAACAAAGAUUUCCUUGACAGUAAAUCGUGGCUUCCCUUAGAUUACAACAUUUCCAAUUCGCCUUAUUCCAGAAGCCCAUAAUGCUUUGCGACAAAGGUGACUUCCGGUUUAUUUCCGCAUUCAAUUUCCUAGUUAUCGAUACGAGUGAAAGGAAGAGCAUACUUGGCAAAAUAGAUCGAUAGAGAUGUCCAUUCUGGAUGUUUGAUUCCGCCAAGUUGAUGCUCAACAGGAGUAGGCAGUUGAUACCAUUGAUCUGAUAGCACCUGCUAUAUCAGUGGUUUUACAAGAAAAAUUUGUGCAAAACACAAGAGACGGAAUCGGUUCAAGAACAGAGAUAAAAUAAAUUAAGUGUGUCAAUAUGAAUGAAAACUUUCCCUGACUGCAAGGACUAAAGAAAUGCACACAAGUGACAUAAAUUUAAAUGUUUGGUACAAAAAGUAGACAUGUAGAAAUUAAAAUUAUGACACAGGAUGUGAAACAACACUAUAGCCGAUAACAGUCCAACAAGAGAUUUUUCAAAAAGAAGCAAGAUUUGGUUUUUGAACCCUUGGCAAAUGAACCUUUAAAGGGAUUAUUGCAUACCAAGGACAAUUUAUUGUUUUUGAAUUAUAUCAAAUGUUAUUAUUAAAUUGUAAAAAAUAC